RNAcentral lists this long non-coding RNA (3017 nucleotides) under Sus scrofa (pig). RNAcentral's name for it is "lncRNA (ENSSSCG00000063007.1)". Lineage: Eukaryota; Metazoa; Chordata; Mammalia; Artiodactyla; Suidae. The record is from RNAcentral.
AAUUUUAAAACAAAUAUUUUCAGAAGACAAAAGGAUUGACAUAUUUUGUUUUUUAGUAAUUCUAAGCAGAAAUGUGAAAUUACUUUUUUUUAUUUAUAAUGAUUUUUAUUUUUUCCAAUAUAGUUGAUUUACAGUGUUCUGUCAAUUUUCUGCUGUACAGCAAGGUUACCCAGUUAUACACACAUGCUCACAGAUUCAAUGCAAUCCCUAUCAAAUUACCCAUGAUAUUUUUCAUGAAACUAGAACAAACAAUCCAAAAAUUUAUAUGAAAUCACUUUUAAAAAGGUAGUGAAAACAACUCUUUUCUUGAUAAAAAUACAAUAUUUGUGGAAUGUGGAUCAGUCAUCUUUUCAAAUGUUUCCUCCUGAAUUACCGCAUCAUAAUAAAAUCUGUAUGAUUUCACUCAUUUCAAGUAUAUUUUAUAAGGAAAUGUGGAGAAGGAAUUAAUGAAAAUUUCCUUUCCCAUAGGAGAUAAUUUAAAAAUGUUUAAUGCCGUUCAUUUCAAAUUUAAAUGUUAUUCACAAGACAGCUUUGGAAAUUUUGUACCUCUGAGAAAACUUUUUUUGAGGUUAAAGGAAACAAAACAUUUUUAUUUGCUUUUGAACAGUUAAGUAUGAAUAAACUCUCUUGGUAAGCAACUAUCAUUUAUUUCUAGCAUAUUUUGGUUAGAUACUUGUGAAAAUUAAUGGUAAUUAAUUUCUCCAAACUCUGGGUUUAAACAUUAUCAGAAAUAACUCAAUGUGACUGGAUUAUUGACCCAACCUGCACACCGGAGGCCCCCAGUCCCUUCUCCAGCUUUCUCUAGGUCUGAGUGAGUCCCAGAGGGAAGCAAUGAUUCUUCUUUUGCCCCAUGAGAACCACUUGGGGGCGACAUCUCACCGCAGUCCGAGGUACCUGUGGGCCCUGCCAAAGGGGCGGGUCUUCCAAGCCUUAAAUUGGGAGAAGGCAGCCACCGGCUAAGGGGUUUCCUUUUUGCCAUCUUAGCCCACAGGCAGCUCUUUCUCCCUGUGAAAACAGUUCCUUCACCUUCUGCUUGAGGCGUCUUUCUCUACAGCAGGAUUUUUCCAAACGUGAGCUGAUGGGUUAUGAAACCAAUUUAGUGAGUAAAGAGGGAGUUAUUAAUAAUUACACAGGGACAAUAGGCAACAAACUGGGACUGUCCUGGACAAACCAGGACAUGUACUCACCUGCUAGUUUAAGAUCAGCAUUAAAGAAAAUGAAAUGGAAUCAGAUCAGAACAUAUCAGUGCGAGUAAUAUUUUUUAAAACUUUUGCUGGGAGCAAGUAAAGUGUACUUCUUACUAGAGUCAAGGACAAAAGCUUUUGAAAGCCAACGCUGUAUAGGGUUAAGAUUAGUCUGCCAAUGGGGCUUUGGGGAAAGCCAUUAUGCUUUCAUUCUAGGUGAUUCUCCUCUACUCCAGCCUCCUUCUGCACUAACUAAGGCUCUCAAAUAACAACUCUUACAAUCAAACUCCUCUCACCAGAACCCCAGCAUGGCCUGGAUUAAGCCAAUUUCUCAAAACAUCAGGUCUUUGCUUAUAGUAUCACACUUUUCCUGUCUGAAGUCAUUGAAGAAUAAGAGUUCAUCUAUCGGAGUUCCCUUUGUGGCUCAGCGGUUGACGAACCCGACUAGGAUUUAUGAGGAUUCUGGUUUGAUCCCUGGCCUCACUCAGUGGGUUAAGGAUCUGGCGUUGCCAUGAGCUGUGGUGUAGGUCACAGACAUGGCUCAGAUCUGGCAUUGCUGUAGCUGAGGCAUAAGCUAGCACCCGUAGCUCUGAUUCAACCCCUAGCCUGGGAACCUCCAUAUGUUGUGGGUGCGGCUCUAAAAAGCAAAAAAAAGCAAAAAAACCCCAACAAAACAAAAACAGAAACCUGAAAAACAGUUCAUCUAUCAUAAGGGUAUUUAAAUGUGAACUUUCAUGGAAUAGACACUGACAUAAAUCUAUGUUUUUCUCUGCAAGCUCCUUAAGAGUGAGAGCCUUCUAAGAAAACAGGAGCAACUUGACAGGGAGAGGCCCUCAGUAACUGCUCAUUGAGCUCUGCUGAUCUGAUGCCUGAAUUUUCUUUCCUGCCUUGUCAUUUGAAAACCCGCAUGUUGUUUCUUGGGUGGCGUAACUUCCCUCCUUGUGGACCAGUUUCAGUACUUUUUUUCCUAAGAAGGAUAAGUCUCCAGUAGGAAAAAGUGUAUCCUCUGGAAACAAUACUGCACUGGGGAAAAUUCAGUUAGAGAGUUCACUUAAAGCAGUUGGCACAACGCUGGGUACUGGGGUAUGCUCAUUGACAUUCCCUUUUGCCGUUAUUAUGUAAACAGAGUAAAGACCAAAGAACACAGAAAGAAAAAAUGUUGGCUCCUGGGUCACUUCACAGUAGGAGGCAGGUCCUUUAGUACCUAGUUUGGCAGUUCUGUCUUUUAGGUAAACCAUUAUUGAAUAGAUUUUUAAGUGACAUCAUCAUUCCUCAGGACCCCAACCCGCCCACUUUUGUGUGUCUUCCCAGUGCUCUCUCUGUACCCAGAUGAUGCAGAACAGAUUUUCUGCCAGGUUUCAAGCAAAAGCAGGCUCAUGAUUCCUGAUUCCUCUGAAAUUGCAGUGUCUGUGGUUUAGUUCAGGGGCUCUUAUCCUGGACUUUGUUGCUAGUUUGGGGGAGAAUUAUGGCUUCCAGAGCAGAUAAGCAGAGAUUCUUAGCCUUCGCAAGACUGACAUUGGGUAGGGUCAUUCUUUGUUGGCCUGUGCAUUAUAGGUUUUUUAGCGGCAUCUUUGGCCUCUGUCCACUAGAUGCCAGUAGCAUCCCCCCACCACUGACCUGGAAAUUUUAACAACCCAGAAUGUUUUCCAGAGUUCCUGUCGUGGUGCAGUGGAAACGAAUCCGACUAGGAACCAUGAGGUUGCAGUUUUGAUCCCUGGCCUCACUCAGUGGGUUAAGGAUCCGGCGUUGCUGUGAGCUGUGGUGUAGGUUGCAGACGUGGCUCGGAUCUGGCGUUGCUGUGACUGUGGUGUAGGCUGGCAGCUACAGCUCCUA